AAAAAUUUUCUCUAUGUAUAAAGUGCUAAAACCAUUUUUUGUUACAUGUAAAUGAGAAAAUAUGGAUCAAAUUCUUAAAUUUGUUCAUGUUGUGAUCAUUUUUCUUACCUUAUUUCUUGUUGUAAACAACGUAAAUAGUCUAAACUGUACUUCUGUCCUUGAUUGUAUAACUAAUCAUUGUAUUUCACCAGCAAUGCCAAUUUGUGUAUUGCAUGCAUGUUUAUGCGUUUAAUAGGAAAAAGUAGGACAUCACAUGUUAAGAGCUUGAGUUACAAAUAAGUUUAUGUCUUCUAUUUUAUCCAACACAAAUAAAUUAAUGUAAUUUAAGUGCAAUGAUCAAUAUAAUAUAUAAUAUGUGAAUGUAUUAUAUACUUGUUAAGAUUUUACGUAUUUUUAUAUUAUAAAAAAAAUAAUAUGAUU
This is a long non-coding RNA of Vicia villosa (hairy vetch), 420 nucleotides long. RefSeq lists it as uncharacterized. NCBI's taxonomy places the organism in Eukaryota, Viridiplantae, Streptophyta, Magnoliopsida, Fabales, Fabaceae. The transcript has 3 exons. The record is from RefSeq and is a predicted model, not a curated record.